Molecule: ribosomal RNA, 497 nt
Filed under: uncultured bacterium
Lineage: Bacteria
Description: partial 16S ribosomal RNA
Rfam family: Bacterial small subunit ribosomal RNA
Source: RNAcentral
GAUGAACGCUGGCGGCGUGCCUAAUACAUGCCAGUCGAGCGAACGGACGAGAAGCUUGCUUCUCUGAUGUUAGCGGCGGACGGGUGAGUAACACGUGGAUAACCUACCUAUAAGACUGGGGUAACUUCGGGAAACCGGAGCUAAUACCGGAUAAUAUUUUGAACCGCAUGGUUCAAAAGUGAAAGACGGUCUUGCUGUCACUUAUAGAUGGAUCCGCGCUGCAUUAGCUAGUUGGUAAGGUAACGGCUUACCAAGGCAACGAUGCAUAGCCGACCUGAGAGGGUGAUCGGCCACACUGGAACUGAGACACGGUCCAGACUCCUACGGGAGGCAGCAGUAGGGAAUCUUCCGCAAUGGGCGAAAGCCUGACGGAGCAACGCCGCGUGAGUGAUGAAGGUCUUCGGAUCGUAAAACUCUGUUAUUAGGGAAGAACAUAUGUGUAAGUAACUGUGCACAUCUUGACGGUACCUAAUCAGAAAGCCACGGCUAACUACGUG